Molecule: long non-coding RNA, 717 nt
Filed under: Pogona vitticeps (central bearded dragon)
Lineage: Eukaryota; Metazoa; Chordata; Lepidosauria; Squamata; Agamidae
Description: lncRNA (ENSPVIG00000022397.1)
Source: RNAcentral
CAAAGCACUGGAUCCGGGUGUUGGAAGACUCAAGCUGCUCCUCAUUGCUGCCCAUUCAGUUACCCAAGGCAAGUAGAGAAUAUAAUCCAUCUCCUUACACCUGUUUCUGCCCACUUCCUUAGAGGAAAUGGGUUAAGCAGUCAGGGUGAAGAAGAAGACCAGAAGAUUCCAGAUGUUGGCUGUGAAGCAUUUCCUCCGUCUGAGCCUUGGCAGGUGUUAUUUUCUAGACACACCACCACUGAAAUAAAGCUGAUGGUUGGUGAUGCAAGCCUAGAAGAAUUUCCAGAAGAGGCUCUUAAAGAAUAUGUGUGUUUGGAGAGAACAUUUCCUGCACCUAUCAGCAGCAACAUCUCCACCAUACCGUCCUUAAUUAUUGAGAAUGUCUAGAGAAGAAUUAUACAGGCCACAAAGUGGUAAAUGUUUGUAGGAUCAUUUGGUUUUUAUCUGACUGUGCUGUUUUACUGCUGUCUGUGCUGAGCAAAGCCAUUUCUAACACUAAGCUGUGGUAGUAAGGACCAGUACCACGACAAGAUCAUAUGCUGUGGUGGGUGACGACGUUUCCUACUUUACAAUGGAUACUAUUGGUUUUAAAAAGGGCAGUCAAAUCUAAGCCCAAUUUAGAGAUAAAGGAAUGAUCAAGGGUCUCAAAUUUACCCAUCAGUUUCAGACCCUGGGCAACAGAUUGAGCAGCUGUACAGGGGACUGAGAGAUACAUAC